RNAcentral lists this long non-coding RNA (407 nucleotides) under Rattus norvegicus (Norway rat). RNAcentral describes it as "long non-coding RNA NONRATT028902". Lineage: Eukaryota; Metazoa; Chordata; Mammalia; Rodentia; Muridae. The record is from RNAcentral.
GCGCGGGGCCCGGCGGGCGCGGGCGAGGCGCUCCCUCCUCCCCGUGCGAGCGAGGAGGCGGUGGCCGAGGGUGGGAACCCAGCCCCGGCGGGAGCGCGCCGAGAGCCACCCGGCAGCCCUGCGCUUUGUUCCGUUCCGGGGCUGGAGGUGUGGCCGGCGUUGUGGCCCGUUCCGCGCUGGUCCUGCUGCGCUACGCUGCACCCGGCUGCACCCGGGCGGCGGCGGGCUCCGGCUGUGCGUGGCCUCUGUCCCUACCACCCGCUCUGGCGUAACGGUGUGCAGCGGAGAAGUCGCUCGUCACUCCGACCCAAGUAGGAGGGCCUGGCCGGCGCUCAGACAGACUCCUUUGAUUGUAGUCAUCCUGGGAGCAUCCUGAAGGGACAGAGACAGAAUCCAGAAUCUACAGC